GUGCUGAGAUGAGGCUGAGCCCCUGACCUUGAACCUGGGAUCUUGCCCAUGAUCUCAUGGUGUUGCCGUCAGGGGUAGAUUUCUUGUUAA
This 90-nucleotide microRNA precursor is filed under the name Neotoma lepida (desert woodrat). Its description in RNAcentral is "mir-3070 microRNA precursor family". It matches the Rfam family "mir-3070 microRNA precursor family". The record is from Rfam by way of RNAcentral. Lineage: Eukaryota; Metazoa; Chordata; Mammalia; Rodentia; Cricetidae.